AACGAAUGCUGGCGGCAGGCCUAACACAUGCAAGUCGAGCGCCCCGCAAGGGGAGCGGCGGACGGGUGAGUAACGCGUGGGAAUAUGCCCUUUGCUACGGAAUAGUCUCGGGAAACUGGGGGUAAUACCGUAUACGCCCUUUGGGGGAAAGAUUUAUCGGCGAAGGAUUAGCCCGCGUUGGAUUAGGUAGUUGGUGGGGUAAUGGCCUACCAAGCCGACGAUCCAUAGCUGGUUUGAGAGGAUGAUCAGCCACACUGGGACUGAGACACGGCCCAGACUCCUACGGGAGGCAGCAGUGGGGAAUCUUAGACAAUGGGGGCAACCCUGAUCUAGCCAUGCCGCGUGAGUGAUGGAGGCCUUAGGGUUGUAAAGCUCUUUCAGCUGGGAAGAUAAUGACGGUACCAGCAGAAGAAGCCCCGGCUAACUCCGUG
Molecule: ribosomal RNA, 431 nt
Filed under: uncultured bacterium
Lineage: Bacteria
Description: partial 16S ribosomal RNA
Rfam family: Bacterial small subunit ribosomal RNA
Source: RNAcentral